AUUACAUUGAAUGUGGCCCUUCGGGGUGUUAUAGCUUUGUAAAAAAUACCUUGGACGGGACUGAGGAACGCAGCGAAUGCCUUUAGGCGAGAUUGCUGGGUGCUUGCGCUGAUACAUGCUAGAAUUUCUGCUUUGGGUGGUGCUAGUGUGUAAAGGAGUAACCCGCUUAGUAUAUUUUUUAUUCGCUUAGGUUGUUGGCUUAAUGACUCUAAAUGACCCGUCUUGAAACACGGACCAAGGAGUCCACCAUUAGUGCAAGUAUUUGGGUGACAAACCCAUAUGCGCAAGGAAACUGAUUGAUACGAA
RNAcentral lists this ribosomal RNA (306 nucleotides) under Mucor irregularis. Its description in RNAcentral is "LSU rRNA". It matches the Rfam family "Eukaryotic large subunit ribosomal RNA", at positions 439 to 741 of the family's 3401-position model. The record is from RNAcentral. Lineage: Eukaryota; Fungi; Mucoromycota; Mucoromycetes; Mucorales; Mucoraceae.